RNAcentral lists this ribosomal RNA (254 nucleotides) under uncultured bacterium. Its description in RNAcentral is "partial 16S ribosomal RNA". It matches the Rfam family "Bacterial small subunit ribosomal RNA", at positions 524 to 776 of the family's 1533-position model. The record is from RNAcentral.
UACGGGGGGAGCAAGCGUUGUUCGGAUUUACUGGGCGUAAAGGGCGCGUAGGCGGUCAGCACAAGUCAGUUGUGAAAUCUCCGGGCUUAACUCGGAAAGGUCAACUGAUACUGUGCGACUAGAGUGCGGAAGGGGCAACUGGAAUUCUCGGUGUAGCGGUGAAAUGCGUAGAUAUCGAGAGGAACACCUGCGGCGAAGGCGGGUUGCUGGGCCGACACUGACGCUGAAGCGCGAAAGCCAGGGGAGCAAACGGG